UGGAAGUAUACAAUCGUAACAAGGUUUCCGUAGGUGAACCUGCGGAAGGAUCAUUACAGAAAUAGGAGAAAGGGCGCUUAACUGCGACCCUUUUCUUUCUACACAUGUGUUUUUCUUUUUUUUGAAAACUUUGCUUUGGUGGGCCCACGGCCUGCCAGAGAUUAAACUCAACCAAAUUUUUUAUUAAUUGUCAACUUGAUUAACUAAUAGUCAAAACUUUCAACAACGGAUCUCUUGGUUCUCGCAUCGAUGAAGAACGCAGCGAAAUGCGAUAAGUAAUAUGAAUUGCAGAUAUUCGUGAAUCAUCGAAUCUUUGAACGCACAUUGCGCCCUUUGGUAUUCCAAAGGGCAUGCCUGUUUGAGCGUCAUUUCUCCCUCAAACCUUCGGGUUUGGUGUUGAGCGAUACGCUGGGUUUGCUUGAAAGAAAGGCGGAGUAUAAACUAAUGGAUAGGUUUUUUUCUUCCACUCAUUGGUACAAACUCCAAACAUUCUUCCAAAUUCGACCUCAAAUCAGGUAGGACUACCCGCUGAACUUAAGCAUAUCAAAA
This 549-nucleotide ribosomal RNA is filed under the name Lodderomyces metapsilosis. Its description in RNAcentral is "eukaryotic LSU rRNA". The stretch from base 215 to 368 matches the Rfam family "5.8S ribosomal RNA". The record is from RNAcentral. Lineage: Eukaryota; Fungi; Ascomycota; Pichiomycetes; Serinales; Debaryomycetaceae.